GAUGAACGCUGGCUACAGGCUUAACACAUGCAAGUCGAGGGGAAACGGCAUUGAGUGCUUGCACUGAAUGGACGUCGACCGGCGCACGGGUGAGUAACGCGUAUCCAACCUUCCCGUUACUGCGGGAUAACCUGCCGAAAGGCAGACUAAUACCGCAUGUUCUUCGAUGACGGCAUCAGAUUCGAAGCAAAGAUCCGUCGGUAACGGAGGGGGAUGCGUCUGAUUAGCUAGUUGGCGGGGCGACGGCCCACCAAGGCGACGAUCAGUAGGGGUUCUGAGAGGAAGGUCCCCCACAUUGGAACUGAGACACGGUCCAAACUCCUACGGGAGGCAGCAGUGAGGAAUAGUGGUCAAUGGGCGGAAGCCUGAACCAGCCAAGUAGCGUGCAGGAGGACGGCCCUACGGGUUGUAAACUGCUUUUAUGCGGGGAUAAAGUGAGGGACGCGUCCCUUUUUGCAGGUACCGCAUGAAUAAGGACCGGCUAAUUCCGUG
Molecule: ribosomal RNA, 492 nt
Filed under: uncultured bacterium
Lineage: Bacteria
Description: partial 16S ribosomal RNA
Rfam family: Bacterial small subunit ribosomal RNA
Source: RNAcentral